Stegostoma tigrinum is the source of this 1329-nucleotide long non-coding RNA. RefSeq lists it as uncharacterized. The record is from RefSeq and is a predicted model, not a curated record. Lineage: Eukaryota; Metazoa; Chordata; Chondrichthyes; Orectolobiformes; Stegostomatidae. The transcript is spliced from 3 exons.
UUAAUGCUACAGUAUGAAGAUUUGAAAGCUCCCUGCCUAAUCUGCCACGAGCCGCUCUUUAAAGCUCAGAAAAUUUUUUAAGAAGUCAGAAGUAUUACUUCCUUUAUCUGAGUGAACUGUAAAGGAGACCCUGAUCAAUAUCUUCACAAAAUUAACGAAGAAACCAUCAUCAAUGCCUGGAAUAAUGCAUCAUGAAAGUCAUGUAGCUCCUUGGGACCAAUGAUGGCUUUCUUCUGCUCCAGAGUUGAGGACCCUCAAGUGACUAAAUUCUCCAAUUUUGGAUCCGCACAUCCCUGUCACUGGGUUGAGUCAGAUUUCCAGCAUCCAAGGUACUUUGCAUUUGGCAUUAGUGGCAUUCUGGAUGAAGUGCGGCUUGUGAAUGGCAAAAACAAGGAUGUCAAUGAGAACAGUAUUUGAAGGAUGAAGUCUUGGAGUUGCAAAGGUCUAUGUGCCAGAGCUGGGAGUUGGAGGAGGCAAAACAGGAACAGAAAUUAUUGAGGAAGUGCAAGAAGCCAAUUGGAACGGGCCUGAGGAAAGAAACUUGACUUUGUGUCAAGCAACACAUUCAGCUCCCAAACUAUCUUUACAAACUGACUAAGUGGGAUCACUGGCUGUCUUUAAAUUGUUGAGACACAUCUUUGUCAAAUGUUUUCUCCUGUACAAUCUGUACAGCUGCUUUGUAAACCAAUCUGCAGUGCCUAAUUAUGCUAUUCAGUCACUGAGGAGAAUUUAAGCAAAGCCUUACCUUGCAACACUCAGAGCUCCUCCUUGAGAUAGAUUCAUUCCAGAGUUCAAUAGGUUUGAGCAAAGGGAGGUUUUGUUAGUGAGCAGAACACUGUAUUGUUUGCCUGCUCCACCUGCAAUGUCCGUUUAACUUCAGCUCGAAGAUGCACUAGCUCCCCCUAUGUGAUUUAAACUAAAGUGUUCUGCCAGGUCUGCAGUGUUCAUCUAUCCAACAUACAUUAAUAUUUGCUAGGUUCUAGAAUUAAGUUUACUCAAUAAUAUAAUCUUAAAGAAGCCAAUAGUUCAUUAGCUAUACUUCUGCUGAGGACAGCUAACUUUCCCCUUUUCAGUACAAUUUGCCUUAGUUCAAGGUCCGUUUGUGUCUAACCCUCUUUCAAAUGCUUCCCUCUGGAAACCCCUCCUGUUCAUUCCUGGAAUUCACAAGCCUCUUUUUCCUGUCUCUCCUCUUUUUCCUUUUCUUUGAUGUUGCCUGGAAUUCUAGCUCUAGUUUCCACAGCUUCAGAUGGAUCUAUGUAGAGGAAUAAAAAAUGUACAAUGUUAAACAGGCUUUUGUACCAAUAUGCUAUUCAAAUUUUAUUGUGUGCC